GACAGCAGCCGCCACGGUAAUACGUAGGUGGCAAGCGUUGUCCGGAUUUAUUGGGCGUAAAGCGAGCGCGGGCGGUCAAUUAAGUCUGAUGUGAAAGCCCCCGGCUCAACCGGGGAGGGUCAUUGGAAACUGGUUGACUUGAGUGCAGAAGAGGAGAGUGGAAUUCCAUGUGUAGCGGUGAGAUGCGUAGAUAUAUGGAGGAACACCAGUGGCGAAGGCGACUCUCUGGUCUGUAACUGACGCUGAGGCUCGAAAGCGUGGGUAGCAAACAGGAUUAGAUACCCCGGUAGUCCCUGUCUCUUAUAC
Molecule: ribosomal RNA, 306 nt
Filed under: uncultured bacterium
Lineage: Bacteria
Description: partial 16S ribosomal RNA
Rfam family: Bacterial small subunit ribosomal RNA
Source: RNAcentral